This 216-nucleotide ribosomal RNA is filed under the name Glomeromycotina sp. RNAcentral's name for it is "partial small subunit ribosomal RNA". The stretch from base 40 to 216 matches the Rfam family "Eukaryotic small subunit ribosomal RNA", at positions 686 to 864 of the family's 1831-position model. The record is from RNAcentral. Lineage: Eukaryota; Fungi; Glomeromycota.
GGGUCAGUAGGUUGGUCGUGCCACCGGUACGUACUGGUCUCACUGAUUCCUCCUUCCUGAAGAACCGUAAUGCCAUUAAUUUGGUGUUGCGGGGAAACAGGACUGUUACUUUGAAAAAAUUAGAGUGUUUAAAGCAAGCUAACGCUUGAAUACAUUAGCAUGGAAUAAUGAGGUAGGACGAUCGAUCCUAUUUUGUUGGUCUCUAGGAUUGACGUA